This 238-nucleotide ribosomal RNA is filed under the name uncultured bacterium. Its description in RNAcentral is "partial 16S ribosomal RNA". It matches the Rfam family "Bacterial small subunit ribosomal RNA", at positions 100 to 334 of the family's 1533-position model. The record is from RNAcentral.
CGGAACGGGUGAGUAACGCGUGAGGAACCUGCCUCAAAGAGGGGGACAACAGUUGGAAACGACUGCUAAUACCGCAUAAGCCCACGGCUCGGCAUCGAGCAGGGGGAAAAGGAGUGAUCCGCUUUGAGAUGGCCUCGCGUCCGAUUAGCUGGUUGGUGAGGUAACGGCCCACCAAGGCGACGAUCGGUAGCCGGACUGAGAGGUUGAACGGCCACAUUGGGACUGAGACACGGCCCAG